This 253-nucleotide ribosomal RNA is filed under the name uncultured bacterium. Its description in RNAcentral is "partial 16S ribosomal RNA". It matches the Rfam family "Bacterial small subunit ribosomal RNA", at positions 524 to 776 of the family's 1533-position model. The record is from RNAcentral.
UACGUAGGGUGCGAGCGUUGUCCGGAAUUAUUGGGCGUAAAGAGCUCGUAGGCGGUUUGUCACGUCUGCUGUGAAAUCCCGAGGCUCAACCUCGGGCCUGCAGUGGGUACGGGCAGACUGGAGUGCGGUAGGGGAGAAUGGAAUUCCUGGUGUAGCGGUGGAAUGCGUAGAGAUCUCCAAGAACACCAGUUGCGAAGGCGGCCGACUGGACCCAUAUUGACGCUGAGGCUCGAAAGCAUGGGGAGCAAACAGG